This 74-nucleotide transfer RNA is filed under the name Sphaerodactylus townsendi. RNAcentral describes it as "tRNA-Gly". Lineage: Eukaryota; Metazoa; Chordata; Lepidosauria; Squamata; Sphaerodactylidae. The record is from RNAcentral.
GAGCUGCGUGGCGUAGUGGUUAAGUGUUUGCACUUCCACUCACACGGUCAGGAGUUCGAGCCCCCUGUGGGUCA